This 253-nucleotide ribosomal RNA is filed under the name uncultured bacterium. Its description in RNAcentral is "partial 16S ribosomal RNA". It matches the Rfam family "Bacterial small subunit ribosomal RNA", at positions 524 to 776 of the family's 1533-position model. The record is from RNAcentral.
CACGUAGGGCGCAAGCGUUGUCCGGAAUUAUUGGGCGUAAAGAGCUCGUAGGCGGUUCGUCGCGUCGGCUGUGAAAACCUGAGGCUCAACCUCAGGCCUGCAGUCGAUACGGGCGGACUUGAGUACUGCAGGGGAGACUGGAAUUCCUGGUGUAGCGGUGAAAUGCGCAGAUAUCAGGAGGAACACCGGUGGCGAAGGCGGGUCUCUGGGCCGAUACUGACGCUGAGGAGCGAAAGCGUGGGGAGCAAACAGG